Doryrhamphus excisus (bluestripe pipefish) is the source of this 1397-nucleotide non-coding RNA. The record is from RefSeq and is a predicted model, not a curated record. Lineage: Eukaryota; Metazoa; Chordata; Actinopteri; Syngnathiformes; Syngnathidae.
GGACAAUUUACUACGGCACAGGGGCUUACACCGUUGACCAAUUCGUGAUGAUGCUACUAGAACAACGCUGGUGACGACAGCAUAUCCAGAGAAGAGAAGGCCCUCUUGCAGUUAAGCUGAGACGUGAUCAGCGACUACAUGGCUCCACCCAGAGGACAGAAGAUAAAAUUGGCCCCACGUUUCUUAUUGCUGUUCAGUGACAGACAAUAUCACCACCUACAUCCAGGGGUGCUGCUAGGAAUUCUGGGUCCCAUGAAAAAUCACCUUGGGUCUACCUUGACUACGAAGCAUGGUGAAGGCAGUAGUGGACCAAACCAUUUCAUGCAUCUAUAGCUAUAGUCAAUAUGGAAGUUUAUUUUGGUCAAUGUGGAUAUUUAACUGAUGCUACCAAAUACAAUCGCUAUAUUAAAAAUACAUCACAACCAGAUUGACACAACCAAAACGCAUCAGUCAUGGGCCCUUGGAAUUGUCCAAACUUUUCCCCCCUGUACAGUGCCCCAGCCUACAUCCACUAGAACUUGAUCUUGAUAUAUGCCAAGCAUGCCCAUUAGGUCGAUCACAUGUGUCACACACGUCAUAAACGUCACUUUGUAAAUGUCAGCUGACAUUAAGCUCCCCUUCAGAUUUGUGGCAAAGUACAGUAAGUGGUGAACAGCCGUCUUAAGCAACACACAGAAAUGCUAAUUCCAUCAUAACUCUACUGCUGAGUUAUUAACAAAAGUUAUCUGUUCACUUGUAGCAAGUAGUUAUGUAAAAAAAGUCCAUUGUUUGAUGGCUUGGCUUCACGUCCUGAACUCCGCUAUAGAAAUGUGUGUGUUAUUAUUAUUAUUUGAUGAUUAUUUGGAAAAUGUGCCCAUUGGUGAAACCUUUUUAAUAUGUUGCCUUGACCCUGGCUGCAUUGUCUUUUGCGUCAUCAUUUUCAUUUCUUCUAUAUGUGUAAUGUUUGAGAAAGUCCAGAUUAGCCCACAACAUAAAGUAGGCUUUGAGUUUUGACACCCCUGAUGUAAACGAUGAAGUUUCCUUCCUCCAUUUAAAAGGCAUAUAUUGUGAUAACUCUUAAUUCCUGCAAACCACAGGCUGUAAAAAAAAAUCCUACAAUGAAGAUAAAGCAGCAUGUAGCCAGAGGGCUUUACUUCCGGCUAUAGAAAACAGGUAAGAUGCAGCAGUUUAAAUAACCAACCAUAUUGAAACUGCAGCAGUGUACGAUCAAAAACAACAGAGGGCGCCAUUGCUUUCUACAAAUGUACUACGGAGUCAACCUGAGUCAGUCAAAUGUGGCCUAGACUAAACCAGUAGAUAGUUCAAUUAUUUGACUAUUUGUAUAUGAUAUUAAAGGAUGUCCAUAAAAUCUCUUUACAAUUUAACACAUUCCUUACAAAAGCAAAUUAAUCCUGGGA